RNAcentral lists this ribosomal RNA (2923 nucleotides) under Lactiplantibacillus pentosus. RNAcentral describes it as "bacterial LSU rRNA". It matches the Rfam family "Bacterial large subunit ribosomal RNA". Lineage: Bacteria; Bacillati; Bacillota; Bacilli; Lactobacillales; Lactobacillaceae. The record is from RNAcentral.
AGGUUAAGUUAACAAGGGCGCAUGGUGAAUGCCUUGGCACUAGGAGCCGAUGAAGGACGGGACUAACACCGAUAUGCUUCGGGGAGCUGUACGUAAGCUAUGAUCCGGAGAUUUCCGAAUGGGGCAACCCAGCAGUUUUAAUCAACUGUUACCACUAGAUGAAUUCAUAGUCUAGUUGGAGGUAAACGCUGUGAACUGAAACAUCUCAUUAGCAGCAGGAAUAUAAAGAAAUUUCGAUUCCCUAAGUAGCGGCGAGCGAACGGGGAACAGCCCAAACCAAAGUGCUUGCACUUUGGGGUUGUAGGACUGAACAUUUGAGUUACCAAAGAACUUGAUAGUCGAAGGAUUUGGGAAAAUCCGCCAUAGAUGGUGAUAGCCCAGUAGAUUAAAUCAAAUUCUCUCAGUUCAGGAUCCUGAGUACGGCGGAACACGUGAAAUUCCGUCGGAAUCCGGGAGGACCAUCUCCCAAGGCUAAAUACUACCUAGUGACCGAUAGUGAACCAGUACCGUGAGGGAAAGGUGAAAAGCACCCCGGGAGGGGAGUGAAAUAGUUCCUGAAACCAUGUGCCUACAAUAAGUCAGAGCGCGUUAAUGCGUGAUGGCGUGCCUUUUGUAGAAUGAACCGGCGAGUUAUGAUCCCGUGCAAGGUUAAGACUAAAAAGUCGGAGCCGUAGCGAAAGCGAGUCUGAAAUGGGCGAUUUGAGUACGAGGUUAUAGACCCGAAACCAGGUGACCUAUCCAUGUCCAGGUUGAAGGUGCGGUAAAACGCACUGGAGGACCGAACCCGUGUAAGUUGAAAAUUGCUGGGAUGAGGUGUGGAUAGCGGUGAAAUUCCAAACGAACUUGGAGAUAGCUGGUUCUCUCCGAAAUAGCUUUAGGGCUAGCCUCGGAUUAAGGAUCAUGGAGGUAGAGCACUAUUUGGACUAGGGGCCCGUCUUGGGUUACUGAAUUCAGAUAAACUCCGAAUGCCAUUGAUUCAUGUCCGGGAGUCAGACGAUGAGUGAUAAGAUCCACCGUCGAAAGGGGAACAGCCCAGACCAUCAGUUAAGGUCCCUAAAUGUAUGCUAAGUGGAAAAGGAUGUGGAGUUGCAUAGACAACUAGGAUGUUGGCUCAGAAGCAGCCACCAUUUAAAGAGUGCGUAAUAGCUCACUAGUCGAGUGAUCCUGCGCCGAAAAUGUACCGGGGCUAAGCAUACUACCGAAACCAUGGAUGCGACCAUUAGGUCGCGUGAUAGGAGAGCGUUCUAAGGGCGGUGAAGCAAGAUCGUGAGGACUUGUGGAGCGCUUAGAAGUGAGAAUGCCGGUAUGAGUAGCGAAAGAUAGGUGAGAAUCCUAUCCACCGAAUGACUAAGGUUUCCUGGGGAAGGCUCGUCCUCCCAGGGUUAGUCGGGACCUAAGUCGAGGCCGAGAGGCGUAGACGAUGGAUAACAGGUUGAGAUUCCUGUACUAGUUAAGUGCGUUUGAGCAAUGGAGGGACGCAGGAGGCUAAGAUGUGCAUUCUGUUGGAUUAGAAUGUCCAAGCAGUAAGUCUUGUGGAGAGUCAAAUGCUUUUCACUUCAAGGACAAGCUGUGAUGGGGAGCGAAAUUUAGUAGCGAAGCGUCUGAUGUCACACUGCCGAGAAAAGCUUCUAGUGAGUACUUAACUACCCGUACCGCAAACCGACACAGGUAGUCGAGGAGAGAAUCCUAAGGUGAGCGAGUGAACUCUCGUUAAGGAACUCGGCAAAAUGACCCCGUAACUUCGGGAGAAGGGGUGCUGAUCGCAAGAUCAGCCGCAGUGAAUAGGCCCAGGCGACUGUUUAUCAAAAACACAGGUCUCUGCAAAAUCGUAAGAUGACGUAUAGGGGCUGACGCCUGCCCGGUGCUGGAAGGUUAAAAGGAUGGGUUAGCUUCGGCGAAGCUCAGAAUUGAAGCCCCAGUAAACGGCGGCCGUAACUAUAACGGUCCUAAGGUAGCGAAAUUCCUUGUCGGGUAAGUUCCGACCCGCACGAAAGGCGUAACGAUCUGGGCACUGUCUCAACGAGAGACUCGGUGAAAUUAUAUUGUCCGUGAAGAUGCGGACUACCCGCGACAGGACGGAAAGACCCCAUGGAGCUUUACUGUAGCUUGAUAUUGAGUGUUUGUACAGCUUGUACAGGAUAGGUAGGAGCCAUAGAAACCGGAACGCUAGUUUCGGUGGAGGCGUUGGUGGGAUACUACCCUCGCUGUAUGACCACUCUAACCCGCACCACUAAUCGUGGUGGGAGACAGUGUCAGGUGGGCAGUUUGACUGGGGCGGUCGCCUCCUAAAAAGUAACGGAGGCGCCCAAAGGUUCCCUCAGAAUGGUUGGAAAUCAUUCGCAGAGUGUAAAGGCACAAGGGAGCUUGACUGCGAGACAGACAGGUCGAGCAGGGACGAAAGUCGGGCUUAGUGAUCCGGUGGUACCGUAUGGAAGGGCCAUCGCUCAACGGAUAAAAGCUACCCUGGGGAUAACAGGCUUAUCUCCCCCAAGAGUCCACAUCGACGGGGAGGUUUGGCACCUCGAUGUCGGCUCAUCGCAUCCUGGGGCUGUAGUCGGUCCCAAGGGUUGGGCUGUUCGCCCAUUAAAGCGGUACGCGAGCUGGGUUCAGAACGUCGUGAGACAGUUCGGUCCCUAUCCGUCGCGGGCGUAGGAAAUUUGAGAGGACCUGUCCUUAGUACGAGAGGACCGGGAUGGACAUACCUCUGGUGUACCAGUUGUGCCGCCAGGCGCAUCGCUGGGUAGCUACGUAUGGAUGUGAUAAACGCUGAAAGCAUCUAAGUGUGAAACACACCUCGAGAUGAGAUUUCCCAUUCCUUUAUGGAAGUAAGACCCCUGAAAGAUGAUCAGGUAGAUAGGUUAGAAGUGGCAGUGCGGUGACGCAUGAAGCGGACUAAUACUAAUCGGUCGAGGACUUAACCAAG